Molecule: long non-coding RNA, 454 nt
Filed under: Phascolarctos cinereus (koala)
Lineage: Eukaryota; Metazoa; Chordata; Mammalia; Diprotodontia; Phascolarctidae
Description: lncRNA (ENSPCIG00000012844.2)
Source: RNAcentral
AUAAGAUAGUAGUUAGAUCAGUUCAUUUCUUCCUGUCUUGUUCCUGGAAAGCUAACAUCACAAAUUACUUAUCUUGAGAAUUAUGGGUCAGUCAUAACAUCUUUGAAGAGGAAGAUCAAGAGCAAAAUGCCUCAAGCCAGGAAGGCCCUCUUCCCUAUGGUUGCCUGGUUACCAUGAGAGAACCUCGCCAUGGUAACAUCUGGAAUAAAGGUGGGAACCACAGAGAUAGAGGGAAUGGCACCUGAUGAAAUGGAGCAAGUGGAGGAGUUUCUGGACCAGCACUGAAUGCCUGCACCAAGCAGAAGAGGGCCUGGAGCUAAGCAGCAGCAAGGCAAAGAGCAAUAAAUUAGAGCAAGUGUCAAAGUUUUUCCCAUUGGCAGGCUGGUAUUUCACCAUCAACAUGUCCCAAAGUCACCAGAACUAUGUCUGGAGUUGUGCCUUCCCAGAAGAGCUC